GACGAACGCUGGCGGCGUGCUUAACACAUGCAAGUCGAACGGACAGGCCCUGCUUUUGUGGGGUGCUCGUGUGGCGCACGGGUGUGUAACACGUGAGUAACCUGUCCUUGACUUUGGGAUAACUCCAGGAAACUGGGGCUAAUACCGGAUAGGAGCUCCUGCUGCAUGGUGGUGGUUGGUAAGUUUCGGCGGUUGGGGAUGGACUCGCGGCUUAUCAGCUUGUUGGUGGGGUAGUGGCUUACCAAGGCUUUGACGGGUAGCCGGCCUGAGCGGGUGACCGGCCACAUUGGGACUGAGAUACGGCCCAAACUCCUACGGGAGGCAGCAGUGGGGAAUAUUGCACAAUGGGCGGAAGCCUGAUGCAGCAACGCCGCGUGCGGGAUGACGGCCUUCGGGUUGUAAACCGCUUUCGCCUGUGACGAAGCGUGAGUGACGGUAAUGGGUAAAGAAGCACCGGCUAACUACGUG
Molecule: ribosomal RNA, 468 nt
Filed under: uncultured bacterium
Lineage: Bacteria
Description: partial 16S ribosomal RNA
Rfam family: Bacterial small subunit ribosomal RNA
Source: RNAcentral